This 482-nucleotide ribosomal RNA is filed under the name uncultured bacterium. RNAcentral's name for it is "partial 16S ribosomal RNA". It matches the Rfam family "Bacterial small subunit ribosomal RNA", at positions 28 to 507 of the family's 1533-position model. The record is from RNAcentral.
GAUGAACGCUCGCGGCAGGCCUAAUACAUGCAAGUCGGACGGGAUUCAGGAGCUUGCUUCUGAUGAGAGUGGCGCACGGGUGCGUAGCACGUAUGUAACCUACCUUUAUCAGGGGGAUAGCCUCUCGAAAGAGAGAUUAAGCCCGCAUAAAAUCACAGCACAGCAUUGUGUAAUGAUCAAAUAUUUAUAGGAUAAAGAUGGGCAUGCGGAACAUUAGCUAGAUGGCGGGGUAACGGCCCACCAUGGCGACGAUGUUUAGGGGAUCUGAGAGGAUGGCCCCCCACACUGGUACUGAGACACGGACCAGACUCCUACGGGAGGCAGCAGUAAGGAAUAUUGGUCAAUGGGCGGAAGCCUGAACCAGCCAUGCCGCGUGCAGGAAGACGGCCCUACGGGUUGUAAACUGCUUUUAUACGGGAAUAAACCCAGAUACGUGUAUCUGGCUGAAUGUACUGUAAGAAUAAGGAUCGGCUAACUCCGUG